GUCUCCAUAGCUCAGUGGAUUAGAGCGUGCGAUUGCAAUCACUGGUGACUGCUUACUAGCUAUCUGCAAUCACAGGACUGCUGCCAAGCAUCGCGAGGCCCCGUGUUCGAACCACGGUGGGGACU
This 125-nucleotide transfer RNA is filed under the name Ephemerocybe angulata. RNAcentral describes it as "Coprinellus angulatus tRNA-Cys". It matches the Rfam family "tRNA". From Rfam's summary of the family: Transfer RNA (tRNA) molecules are approximately 80 nucleotides in length. The record is from RNAcentral. Lineage: Eukaryota; Fungi; Basidiomycota; Agaricomycetes; Agaricales; Psathyrellaceae.